AACGAACGCUGGCGGCAUGCCUAACACAUGCAAGUCGAACGAGACCUUCGGGUCUAGUGGCGCACGGGUGCGUAACGCGUGGGAAUCUGCCCUUGGGUUCGGAAUAACAGUUGGAAACGACUGCUAAUACCGGAUGAUGACGUAAGUCCAAAGAUUUAUCGCCCAAGGAUGAGCCCGCGUAGGAUUAGCUAGUUGGUGAGGUAAAGGCUCACCAAGGCGACGAUCCUUAGCUGGUCUGAGAGGACGAUCAGCCACACUGGGACUGAGACACGGCCCAGACUCCUACGGGAGGCAGCAGUGGGGAAUAUUGGACAAUGGGCGAAAGCCUGAUCCAGCAAUGCCGCGUGAGUGAUGAAGGCCUUAGGGCUGUAAAGCUCUUUUACCCGGGAUGAUAAUGACAGUACCGGGAGAAUAAGCUCCGGCUAACUCCGUG
Molecule: ribosomal RNA, 433 nt
Filed under: uncultured bacterium
Lineage: Bacteria
Description: partial 16S ribosomal RNA
Rfam family: Bacterial small subunit ribosomal RNA
Source: RNAcentral